Molecule: ribosomal RNA, 468 nt
Filed under: uncultured bacterium
Lineage: Bacteria
Description: partial 16S ribosomal RNA
Rfam family: Bacterial small subunit ribosomal RNA
Source: RNAcentral
GACGAACGCUGGCGGCGUGCUUAACACAUGCAAGUCGAACGGAAAGGCGCGGCGCUUGCGGGUUGCUCGAGAGGCGAACGGGGGAGUAACACGUGAGUAACCUGCCCCUGACAGAGGGGUAAAUUCAGGGAAAACGGGCUCAUACCGGGGAGAAGAUCCUGCUGCAUGGGGGGGGUUGGAGAGAUACGGCGGUGGGGGCUGGACUAGCGGCUUAUCAGCUUGUUGGGGGGGUAGUGGCGUACCAAGGCUUUGACGGGUAGCCGGCCUGAGAGGGUGACCGGCCACAUUGGGACUGCGAUACGGCCCAGACUCCUACGGGCCGCAGCAGUCGGGAGUAUUGCAGAAUGGGCGGAAGUCUGAUGCAGCAGCCCCGCGUGCGUGAUGACGGCCUACGGGUUGUAAACCGCUUUCGCCUGUGCCGAAGCGUGAGUGACGGUAAUGGGUAAGGAAGCCCCGGCUAACUACGUG